UCCCAUUUCGGCCUGGCCUCCUUUCGGCCCACGCCUCCCUCUCUUUCUCUUCUUGGACCAAGGCCCAGCCGAGGCAACCGCCGGCCCACUCCUCUCUCUCCCAUCUCACUCACCGCCAGGCGGGGCCCGACUGUCAGCUUCUCCCCUCUCCUCCCACAACCGCUCCCUCUCUCUUUCUGUUCUCAGCAGAACCGACGCCGAGCCCUCGAUCCCCACCACUUCUUGCCCCGCGCCUCGGCUAUGCGUCCACGC
This 252-nucleotide long non-coding RNA is filed under the name Sorghum bicolor (sorghum). Its description in RNAcentral is "long non-coding RNA (SBIC_LNC011600)". Lineage: Eukaryota; Viridiplantae; Streptophyta; Magnoliopsida; Poales; Poaceae. The record is from RNAcentral.